This 635-nucleotide ribosomal RNA is filed under the name Buellia frigida. Its description in RNAcentral is "eukaryotic LSU rRNA". The stretch from base 268 to 421 matches the Rfam family "5.8S ribosomal RNA". Lineage: Eukaryota; Fungi; Ascomycota; Lecanoromycetes; Caliciales; Caliciaceae. The record is from RNAcentral.
UACGACUCACUAUACUUGGUCAUUUAGAGGAAGUAAAAGUCGUAACAAGGUUUCCGUAGGUGAACCUGCGGAAGGAUCAUUACCGAGAGACGGGGUCGCUUCGGCCCCACUCUUCACCCGUGUCUACUUACCUUUGUUGCUUUGGCGGGCCUUCGGGCUUGACCGUUCGACGCGGGUGGGAGGCUUUCGCCUCUCGCCUCGCGAGCGCCCGCCAAAGGCCCUGUUAACUCUGUUUUAGUGUCUUCCGAGCAACCAUGUAAUAGUUAAAACUUUCAACAACGGAUCUCUUGGUUCUGGCAUCGAUGAAGAACGCAGCGAAAUGCGAUAAGUAAUGUGAAUUGCAGAAUUCAGUGAAUCAUCGAAUCUUUGAACGCACAUUGCGCCCUCUGGUAUUCCGGGGGGCAUGCCUGCUCGAGCGUCAUUAUAACCCUCAAGCUCUGCUUGGUACUGGGUAUCGCCUCCUCGGCGUUCCCGAAAUACAGUGGCGGUCCAGCGAGACUCCGAGCGUAGUAAGAUUUCAGUAUCCCGCUAUGGACGUUUUCCGGUGGGCCUGCCAGCGAACCCUCGAAGUGCAAACUUCCACGAUUGACCUCGGAUCAGGUAGGGAUACCCGCUGAACUUAAGCAUAUCAAUAA